Molecule: ribosomal RNA, 918 nt
Filed under: Lachnum soppittii
Lineage: Eukaryota; Fungi; Ascomycota; Leotiomycetes; Helotiales; Lachnaceae
Description: partial large subunit ribosomal RNA
Rfam family: Eukaryotic large subunit ribosomal RNA
Source: RNAcentral
CUUAAGCAUAUCAAUAAGCGGAGGAAAAGAAACCAACAGGGAUUACCUCAGUAACGGCGAGUGAAGCGGUAACAGCUCAAAUUUGAAAUCUGGCUCUUUCAGGGUCCGAGUUGUAAUUUGUAGAAGAUGCUUUGGGUGUGGCCCGGGUCUAAGUUCCUUGGAACAGGACGUCAUAGAGGGUGAGAAUCCCGUAUGUGACCCGGCGCUUUCGCCCGUGUAAAGCUCUUUCGACGAGUCGAGUUGUUUGGGAAUGCAGCUCAAAAUGGGUGGUAAAUUUCAUCUAAAGCUAAAUAUUGGCCAGAGACCGAUAGCGCACAAGUAGAGUGAUCGAAAGAUGAAAAGCACUUUGGAAAGAGAGUUAAACAGUACGUGAAAUUGUUGAAAGGGAAGCGCUUGCAACCAGACUUAGGCGCGGCCGAUCAUCCAGGGUUCUCCCUGGUGCACUCGGUCGUCUCUAGGCCAGCAUCGGUUUGGGUGGUGGGAUAAAGGCCUUGGGAAUGUAGCUUCUUUCGGGGAGUGUUAUAGCCCUCGGUGCAAUGCCGCCUACCUGGACCGAGGACCGCGCUUCGGCUAGGAUGCUGGCGUAAUGGUUGUAAGCGACCCGUCUUGAAACACGGACCAAGGAGUCUAACAUCUAUGCGAGUAUUUGGGUGUCAAACCCAUAUGCGUAAUGAAAGUGAACGGAGGUGAGAACCCUUAAGGGUGCAUCAUCGACCGAUCCUGAUGUCUUCGGAUGGAUUUGAGUAAGAGCAUAGCUGUUGGGACCCGAAAGAUGGUGAACUAUGCCUAAAUAGGGUGAAGCCAGAGGAAACUCUGGUGGAGGCUCGCAGCGGUUCUGACGUGCAAAUCGAUCGUCAAAUUUGGGUAUAGGGGCGAAAGACUAAUCGAACCAUCUAGUAGCUGGUUCCUGCCGAAGUU